RNAcentral lists this ribosomal RNA (460 nucleotides) under uncultured bacterium. Its description in RNAcentral is "partial 16S ribosomal RNA". It matches the Rfam family "Bacterial small subunit ribosomal RNA", at positions 338 to 795 of the family's 1533-position model. The record is from RNAcentral.
CCUACGGGAGGCAGCAGUGAGGAAUAUUGGUCAAUGGACGAGAGUCUGAACCAGCCAAGUAGCGUGAAGGAUGACUGCCCUAUGGGUUGUAAACUUCUUUUAUAAAGGAAUAAAACGAGGCACGUGUGCCUUUUUGCAUGUACUUUAUGAAUAAGGAUCGGCUAACUCCGUGCCAGCAGCCGCGGUAAUACGGAGGAUCCGAGCGUUAUCCGGAUUUCUUGGGUUUAAAGGGAGCGUAGAUGGGUUGUUAAGUCAGUUGUGAAAGUUUGCGGCUCAACCGUAAAAUUGCAAUUGAUACUGGCAGUCUUGAGUACAGAUGAGGUAGGCGGAAUUCGUGGUGUAGCGGUGAAAUGCUUAGAUAUCACGAAGAACCCCGAUUGCGAAGGCAGCUUACUAAACUGUGACUGACAUUGAUGCUCGAAAGUGUGGGUAUCAAACAGGAGUAGAUACCCGGGUAGUC